GCAUUGGCAGGCAGAUUCUUUACCACUGAGCCACCAGGGAAGCCCAGUUACUAUUGUAACUUGUCCUUAAUGUGUCACCUCAUCAUAGCUGUCUUUAAAUGCCUCCAACAGUUUAUGUUUUCCUUCCCUGUUGCUUAUGUUGUUUUCUCACUAUUUGAUUAAAUAAUCUUAACAAUAUUUGAUAUUUUCAUUGAUCCAUUUAAAUAUUGAUUGAAGCAAUGGAAAAAAAUCCAUAUAUAAAAUAAACUAAAAUCUAUAAUUCUAUGGACUUUACAUUCCAAAAUGGGGUUCAGACUAUCAAAACCUGAAUAACAAAAAUAUUUAAUAUGGCUGAUUAUAAUAAAUGCUGUGGCAGAAACAAUGCAGAGAAGCUGGUAUUAUUUGAUCAGAACUGAUUUAUUUCAUAUGAUAGGAUGCUGCUUCUUUAGAACUGAGUUUUUGUUGCUUACUAUACCUUGGAGCACCUAGUGAGUUCUUUAAAAAAAUGGUUGCUGUAUCGUUAUCUCUCUACAUCCUGUUUUUUCCUUCUAGUUGCUCCUGUACUUUGAUAGUGAAGAAAUCUUACAGAAAUGUAUUUCUGAGAAAAAAAAACGAAAGAGGACUUUCAUUCUCACUAGAUAAGUGAAGAGGAUGCUUGCAAACCAAACAAUAGAGAGAAGAAUACAAUGAAAACAAUGAACAAAAUUUUGAAAACUGAAGAAAAGAAAGCACAUAGAAAAUAAAGGUGAUUUAGUCUUUCUUUUUGCAAGAAAGGCUAUAAAAGUGAAUCAUACUGCAAUGAAAAUGAAUCUUAUCUAACCACACAUUUAUUUAUACUUGCUCAUAGAUGUAUUAACAGCAGCAAGUACAAAUAUAUUAUUUCUCCUGUGUUAUUCCAAGGUACUUUCACUAACUACAUAGUCAAACAAAACAAGUAGUAAAGAUUUGGUGAUGAUACCUAAGCAACUCUCCACACAUUUUCUACUGCUGAUUUGCACUUCAAUUAUCCAUUUUAAUUUUGAGAAACAGACACCUCCAGUAAGAGUAGAGUGAAAAUCACUGUAUUGCCCUCUUAAGCAUUUUGUCUCUAUGGAAAAGCUGUAGGAUUAUCCUAGAUGAAGACAGUGAGUUCCACCAUCAGUUACUUGCAGUUUGUCUCAGAGCAGUAGAUGUGAGUUAUAUCUCUCAGGGGUGUGUCUUCAGGCUUUGCAAAUAGGUACUGCACAGUCCUGAUAAAGAAAUCCAAUCAUCCUUUUAAAACGACUCAAACAUAU
Molecule: long non-coding RNA, 1253 nt
Filed under: Capra hircus (goat)
Lineage: Eukaryota; Metazoa; Chordata; Mammalia; Artiodactyla; Bovidae
Description: lncRNA (ENSCHIG00010014598.1)
Source: RNAcentral